UACGUAGGGGGCAAGCGUUAUCCGGAUUUACUGGGUGUAAAGGGAGCGCAGACGGCAGUGCAAGUCUGGAGUGAAAGCCCGGGGCUCAACCCCGGGACUGCUUUGGAAACUGCAUAGCUGGAGUGCUGGAGAGGCAAGCGGAAUUCCUAGUGUAGCGGUGAAAUGCGUAGAUAUAUGGAAGAACACCAGUGGCGAAGGCGGCCGCCUGGCCUGUUACUGACGCUGAGGCACGAAAGCGUGGGGAGCAAAUAGG
Molecule: ribosomal RNA, 253 nt
Filed under: uncultured Eubacteriales bacterium
Lineage: Bacteria; Bacillati; Bacillota; Clostridia; Eubacteriales
Description: uncultured Clostridiales bacterium partial 16S ribosomal RNA
Rfam family: Bacterial small subunit ribosomal RNA
Source: RNAcentral